AUGGCUCAGGAUGAACGCUAGCUACAGGCUUAACACAUGCAAGUCGAGGGGCAGCAUUGAGAUAGCUUGCUAUUCAGAUGGCGACCGGCGCACGGGUGAGUAACGCGUAUCCAACCUUCCCUAUAGUAGAGAAUAGCCCGGCGAAAGUCGGAUUAAUGCUCUAUGUUCUUCUUUGAUGGCAUCUGACGAGAAGCAAAGGUUCACCGCUAUAGGAUGGGGAUGCGUCUGAUUAGCUUGUUGGCGGGGUAACGGCCCACCAAGGCAACGAUCAGUAGGGGUUCUGAGAGGAAGGUCCCCCACAUUGGUACUGAGACACGGACCAAACUCCUACGGGAGGCAGCAGUGAGGAAUAUUGGUCAAUGGGCGAGAGCCUGAACCAGCCAAGUAAGCGUGCAGGAUGACUGCCCUAUGGGUUGUAAACUGCUUUUAUAGGGGAAUAAAGUGAGGAACGUGUUCCUUUUUGUAUGUACCCUAUGAAUAAGGACCGGCUAAUUCCGUGCCAGCCGCCGC
This 510-nucleotide ribosomal RNA is filed under the name uncultured bacterium. Its description in RNAcentral is "bacterial SSU rRNA". It matches the Rfam family "Bacterial small subunit ribosomal RNA", at positions 19 to 518 of the family's 1533-position model. The record is from RNAcentral.